This 1437-nucleotide ribosomal RNA is filed under the name Lactiplantibacillus plantarum. RNAcentral's name for it is "bacterial SSU rRNA". It matches the Rfam family "Bacterial small subunit ribosomal RNA". Lineage: Bacteria; Bacillati; Bacillota; Bacilli; Lactobacillales; Lactobacillaceae. The record is from RNAcentral.
AGUCGAACGAACUCUGGUAUUGAUUGGUGCUUGCAUCAUGAUUUACAUUUGAGUGAGUGGCGAACUGGUGAGUAACACGUGGGAAACCUGCCCAGAAGCGGGGGAUAACACCUGGAAACAGAUGCUAAUACCGCAUAACAACUUGGACCGCAUGGUCCGAGUUUGAAAGAUGGCUUCGGCUAUCACUUUUGGAUGGUCCCGCGGCGUAUUAGCUAGAUGGUGAGGUAACGGCUCACCAUGGCAAUGAUACGUAGCCGACCUGAGAGGGUAAUCGGCCACAUUGGGACUGAGACACGGCCCAAACUCCUACGGGAGGCAGCAGUAGGGAAUCUUCCACAAUGGACGAAAGUCUGAUGGAGCAACGCCGCGUGAGUGAAGAAGGGUUUCGGCUCGUAAAACUCUGUUGUUAAAGAAGAACAUAUCUGAGAGUAACUGUUCAGGUAUUGACGGUAUUUAACCAGAAAGCCACGGCUAACUACGUGCCAGCAGCCGCGGUAAUACGUAGGUGGCAAGCGUUGUCCGGAUUUAUUGGGCGUAAAGCGAGCGCAGGCGGUUUUUUAAGUCUGAUGUGAAAGCCUUCGGCUCAACCGAAGAAGUGCAUCGGAAACUGGGAAACUUGAGUGCAGAAGAGGACAGUGGAACUCCAUGUGUAGCGGUGAAAUGCGUAGAUAUAUGGAAGAACACCAGUGGCGAAGGCGGCUGUCUGGUCUGUAACUGACGCUGAGGCUCGAAAGUAUGGGUAGCAAACAGGAUUAGAUACCCUGGUAGUCCAUACCGUAAACGAUGAAUGCUAAGUGUUGGAGGGUUUCCGCCCUUCAGUGCUGCAGCUAACGCAUUAAGCAUUCCGCCUGGGGAGUACGGCCGCAAGGCUGAAACUCAAAGGAAUUGACGGGGGCCCGCACAAGCGGUGGAGCAUGUGGUUUAAUUCGAAGCUACGCGAAGAACCUUACCAGGUCUUGACAUACUAUGCAAAUCUAAGAGAUUAGACGUUCCCUUCGGGGACAUGGAUACAGGUGGUGCAUGGUUGUCGUCAGCUCGUGUCGUGAGAUGUUGGGUUAAGUCCCGCAACGAGCGCAACCCUUAUUAUCAGUUGCCAGCAUUAAGUUGGGCACUCUGGUGAGACUGCCGGUGACAAACCGGAGGAAGGUGGGGAUGACGUCAAAUCAUCAUGCCCCUUAUGACCUGGGCUACACACGUGCUACAAUGGAUGGUACAACGAGUUGCGAACUCGCGAGAGUAAGCUAAUCUCUUAAAGCCAUUCUCAGUUCGGAUUGUAGGCUGCAACUCGCCUACAUGAAGUCGGAAUCGCUAGUAAUCGCGGAUCAGCAUGCCGCGGUGAAUACGUUCCCGGGCCUUGUACACACCGCCCGUCACACCAUGAGAGUUUGUAACACCCAAAGUCGGUGGGGUAACCUUUUAGGAACCAGCCGCCUAAGG